UGGGGAAUAUUGCACAAUGGGCGAAAGCCUGAUGCAGCAACGCCGCGUGAGUGAUGAAGGCCUUCGGGUUGUAAAGCUCUGUCUUUUGGGACGAUAAUGACGGUACCAAAGGAGGAAGCCACGGCUAACUACGUGCCAGCAGCCGCGGUAAUACGUAGGUGGCAAGCGUUGUCCGGAUUUACUGGGCGUAAAGGAUGCGUAGGCGGAUUUUUAAGUGAGAUGUGAAAACCCUAAGCUUAACUUGGGGACUGCAUUUCAUACUGGAAAUCUAGAGUGCGGGAGAGGAGAAUGGAAUUCCUAGUGUAGCGGUGAAAUGCGUAGAGAUUAGGAAGAACACCAGUGGCGAAGGCGAUUCUCUGGACCGUAACUGACGCUGAGGCAUGAAAGCGUGGGUAGCAAACAGGAUUAGAUACCCUGGUAGUCCACGCCGUAAACGAUGAGUACUAGGUGUAGGAGGUAUCGACCCCUUCUGUGCCGCAGUUAACACAAUAAGUACUCCGCCUGGGGAAGUACGAUCGCAAGAUUAAAAACUCAAAGGAAUUGAC
RNAcentral lists this ribosomal RNA (545 nucleotides) under uncultured bacterium. RNAcentral's name for it is "partial 16S ribosomal RNA". It matches the Rfam family "Bacterial small subunit ribosomal RNA", at positions 355 to 914 of the family's 1533-position model. The record is from RNAcentral.